Molecule: ribosomal RNA, 253 nt
Filed under: uncultured bacterium
Lineage: Bacteria
Description: partial 16S ribosomal RNA
Rfam family: Bacterial small subunit ribosomal RNA
Source: RNAcentral
UACGUAGGGGGCAAGCGUUGUCCGGAUUUAUUGGGCGUAAAGAGCGUGUAGGCGGUUUGGUAGGUCCGCUGUGAAAACUCGAGGCUUAACCUCGAGCUGUCGGCGGAAACCAUCUGGCUAGAGUCCGGAAGAGGAGAAUGGAAUUCCCGGUGUAGCGGUGAAAUGCGCAGAUAUCGGGAAGAACACCCGUGGCGAAGGCGGUUCUCUGGGACGGUACUGACGCUGAGACGCGAAAGCGUGGGGAGCGAACAGG